Pipistrellus kuhlii (Kuhl's pipistrelle) is the source of this 562-nucleotide long non-coding RNA. RefSeq lists it as uncharacterized. NCBI's taxonomy places the organism in Eukaryota, Metazoa, Chordata, Mammalia, Chiroptera, Vespertilionidae. The record is from RefSeq and is a predicted model, not a curated record. The transcript has 3 exons.
AUUUUCUAUUUUCUUCAUGGUUACCCUGGGAAUUUACAAUUAACAAUGCAGUUUGGGUAAAUACCAUCCCCUGUAUAUAGUCCCAUCCCCUCCACCUCAUUUGUUCUAUUGUCGUACAAAUUAUAUUUUUAUAUGUUACAUAUCCAUCAACAGACCUGCUAUUGCUUUAUGAAGUCUCUUUUUAAAUCAAAUAGGAGAGGAAAUAUCACUAAAAAGUACAUGUAUCCUGUCUUUUAGAGAAAUCACCUGUUACUUUUACUGGUGCUCUUUCCUUCACGUGGAUUAGAGUUAGUCAAACUUCCAUCUCAAACAAUUUGGUUCUUGACUAAGUUGUUCACAGAAAAAAUGUCUCAGUUGUCCACCAAAACUAAAGUUUUCAACCUGACAACCCUUUCAUGCUGAAACAUCAACAAGACAAAAAGCAUCUCUCAGGUAACAAGCAAAGGAGAGAAUGCUUUUGCUGCUGGCAAAAUAGAUGAGCACAAUUUUAAAACAUAAAGAGGCCAUCAAGAGUGCUGGUGUUGCUAAGGGUGUGGAAAGAAUCAUUGAUUAGAGAGGUAGA